This is a long non-coding RNA of Melanotaenia boesemani (Boeseman's rainbowfish), 625 nucleotides long. RefSeq lists it as uncharacterized. The record is from RefSeq and is a predicted model, not a curated record. NCBI's taxonomy places the organism in Eukaryota, Metazoa, Chordata, Actinopteri, Atheriniformes, Melanotaeniidae. The transcript has 3 exons.
CGCAGCGACAAAGGAGGAGAAAAUGUUGAAGUUGCUCGAUAUAUGCUAGAGCAUCCCGAACGAGGAGCAGAAAGAAAAAGUUUUAUCACUGGACGCAGUGUACAUAACCAAAGAAUCGAGAGGCUCUGGAGAGAUGUUUGGUGUGUUGUCACUGUGAACUACCGAUCUGCACUACAAUAUCUGGCUGACACUGCAGCUUUAAAUCCGGAUAGUGAACUGGAUUUGGCUUGCAUUCAUUUUGUAAUGCUACCCAGAAUAAACCGGCAUUUAGAGCUUUUUUCUGCAGCUUGGGACAGACAUUCACUUUCGACAGAGCAAGGUCGAUCACCUCAACAAUUGUGGAUUAGGGGUCAAUUAAUGGCGAACACUUCCAUACCAGAUCCUUCAAGCGAGCAGAUUGAUGAAAAUCGUUAUGGAGUUGACUGGCAAGGACCAACCCCAUUGGAAACAGAAGAGACAGUGAUAGUUCCUGACACACCGGAAAACGUCAGGAGACAGGUUCACAUGCUCCUUCAGGAACGAAUUGACCCACUGAGGGACAGUGAGUGCUUUGGAAUGGACAUCUGUUUGGAGGCCUUGCAGUUGGCGAGGCAAACAUUCCCAGAGUUUUCAUAAUUUUGAAUUC